GACGAACGCUGGCGGCGUGCUUAACACAUGCAAGUCGAACGGAAAGACCUGGUUCUGGGGGUACUCGCGUGGCGAACGGGUGAGUAACAAGUGAGUAAACUACCCUUGUCUUUGAGAUAACUUCAGUAAAGAGGGGCGAGUAACGAACAGAAGCUCCUUCUGCAUGGAGGGGGUUGUAAAGUAUCGGCGGUUGGGGAUGGCCUCGCGGCGUAUCAGCUUGUCGGUGGGGUGUUGGCUUACCAAGGGUUUGACGGGUAGGCGGCCUGAGAGAGUGACCGGCGACACUGGGUCUGAGAGACGGCACAGACAGCGACGGGACGGAGAAGUGGGGAAGCCUGCAGAAUCGGCGGAAGCCGGAUGCUGAAACGCCGCGGGCGGGAUGACGCUGUUAGGAUUGAAAACCGAAUUUGCUCAUGACGAAGCUCUGUGUGACGGUAGUGGGUAAAGAAGCCCCGGCUAACUACGUG
RNAcentral lists this ribosomal RNA (467 nucleotides) under uncultured bacterium. Its description in RNAcentral is "partial 16S ribosomal RNA". It matches the Rfam family "Bacterial small subunit ribosomal RNA", at positions 28 to 507 of the family's 1533-position model. The record is from RNAcentral.